AGCGAACGCUGGCGGCAGGCCUAACACAUGCAAGUCGAACGAACCUUUCGGGGUUAGUGGCGGACGGGUGAGUAACACGUGGGAACGUGCCUUUAGGUUCGGAAUAACUCAGGGAAACUUGUGCUAAUACCGAAUGUGCCCUUCGGGGGAAAGAUUUAUCGCCUUUAGAGCGGCCUGGGUCCGAUUAGCUAGUUGGUUGAGGUAAUGGCACACCAAGGCGACGAUCAGUAGCUGGUCGGAGAGGAUGAUCAGCCACAUUGGGACUGAGACACGGCCCACACUCCUACGGGAAGCAGCAGUGGGGAAUCUUGCGCAAUGGGCGAAAGCCUGACGCAGCCAUGCCGCGUGAAUGAUGAAGGUCUUAGGAUUGUAAAAUUCUUUCACCGGGGACGAUAAUGACGGUACCCGGAGAAGAAGCCCCGGCUAACUUCGUG
This 434-nucleotide ribosomal RNA is filed under the name uncultured bacterium. RNAcentral's name for it is "partial 16S ribosomal RNA". It matches the Rfam family "Bacterial small subunit ribosomal RNA", at positions 29 to 507 of the family's 1533-position model. The record is from RNAcentral.